UUUUCUCUUAAUUGAGUUGCAUUUGACUGUUUAUAUGUUACUGUUACUCUUAGAUACUGGGUAAAAAUUUUUUAUAUGGGUUUAGGGUUUCAAGUGGGUUUAGAUUUUGUGCUGUAUUAGAUAAUGGUUUUGCAAUCUGUUGACUUUUGAAUGCAUGUGUUUCAAGUGGGUAUUAAUUGCUUGGUUGAUAGAAUUCAGGAGAAGGAACUAUAGAAUUGGCCAAAUACUGGGCAGUGGGCACUUUUAUUUUCCACCAGAAAUUAGCAUUACUACUAGCUAAUUGUUCGUCUGAUUGAUUGAUAUAUUUACAGAGUAGGACUGUAGAAGGCUAAAAAAUAAAAAGUUGAAAAAAUCUUCUAUUAACUUGCAUUUAUGAUGCGUGACUCUUUUUGUAGAUGGAUAUCCUUUCGA
Molecule: unclassified non-coding RNA, 411 nt
Filed under: Hevea brasiliensis (rubber tree)
Lineage: Eukaryota; Viridiplantae; Streptophyta; Magnoliopsida; Malpighiales; Euphorbiaceae
Source: RNAcentral